GACGAAGGGGGCAAGCGUUAUCCGUCGUAAUUGGGCGUUGAGCGUUCGCAGGCGGCACUUGGUAGUGGUCGGUUAAAUCGUUAGGCCCAACCUAACGGGAGCCGCGCAAACACUUGUGCUAGAGUGAGAUAGAAGGUUAUAGAAUUUCUUGAGGAGGGGUGAUAUCCGAACAUUUAAGAAGGAAUAUCGUUUGUGAAGACAAUAACCGAGCUCUAAUCACUGACGUUAAGGAACGAAAGCACGGGGAGCAAACAGG
RNAcentral lists this ribosomal RNA (256 nucleotides) under uncultured bacterium. Its description in RNAcentral is "partial 16S ribosomal RNA". It matches the Rfam family "Bacterial small subunit ribosomal RNA", at positions 524 to 776 of the family's 1533-position model. The record is from RNAcentral.